GGAGGCGCAACUUGUCCGGUGAUGGGCGCGGUCUUCAAAACCGUUGUGAGGGUGCGAGAGUAUUCUCAAGUGGGUUCGACUCCCACACGCCUCCGCCA
Molecule: transfer RNA, 98 nt
Filed under: Pyrinomonadaceae bacterium
Lineage: Bacteria; Pseudomonadati; Acidobacteriota; Blastocatellia; Blastocatellales; Pyrinomonadaceae
Also listed under: 1 other name
Description: tRNA-Sec
Rfam family: Selenocysteine transfer RNA
Source: RNAcentral